RNAcentral lists this ribosomal RNA (254 nucleotides) under uncultured eukaryote. RNAcentral describes it as "partial small subunit ribosomal RNA". It matches the Rfam family "Eukaryotic small subunit ribosomal RNA", at positions 587 to 845 of the family's 1831-position model. The record is from RNAcentral.
AGCUCCAAUAGCGUAUAUUAAAGUUGUUGCGGUUAAAAAGCUCGUAGUUGGAUUUCUGCCGAGAUCGUCUGGUCCGCCCUCUGGGUGAGUAUCUAGUUCGGUCUGGGCAUCUUCAUGGAGAGCGUAGCUGCACUUGACUGUGUGGUGCGCAAUCCAUGACUUUUACUUUGAGGAAAUUAGAGUGUUUCAAGCAGGCACACGCCUUGAAUACAUUAGCAUGGAAUAAUAAGAUAAGACCUCGGUUUUAUUUUGUU